GCGGCGUGCCUAAUACAUGCAAGUCGAACGCACUGACGUCGACAGAAGGUGCUUGCACUGGAAGUUGAUUGACGUGAGUGGCGGACGGGUGAGUAACACGUGGGUAACCCGCCCUUAAGCGGGGGAUAACAUUUGGAAACAGAUGCUAAUACCGCAUAAAAGUUGAGAUCACAUGGUCUUAAUUUGAAAGACGGCCUUUGGCUGUCACUUAAGGAUGGACCCGCGGCGUAUUAGCUAGUUGGUGAGAUAAUAGCCCACCAAGGCGAUGAUACGUAGCCGACCUGAGAGGGUAAUCGGCCACAUUGGGACUGAGACACGGCCCAAACUCCUACGGGAGGCAGCAGUAGGGAAUCUUCCACAAUGGACGAAAGUCUGAUGGAGCAACGCCGCGUGAGUGAAGAAGGUUUUCGGAUCGUAAAACUCUGUUGUUGGAGAAGAACAGGGACUAGAGUAACUGUUAGUCCUUUGACGGUAUCCAACCAGAAAGCCACGGCUAACUACGUGCCAGCAGCCGCGGUAAUACGUAGGUGGCAAGCGUUGUCCGGAUUUAUUGGGCGUAAAGCGAGCGCAGGCGGUUUCUUAAGUCUGAUGUGAAGGCCUUCGGCUUAACCGAAGAAGUGCAUCAGAUACUGGGAAACUUGAGUGCAGAAGAGGAAAGUGGAACUCCAUGUGUAGCGGUGAAAUGCGUAGAUAUAUGGAAGAACACCAGUGGCGAAGGCGGCUUUCUGGUCUGUAACUGACGCUGAGGCUCGAAAGUAUGGGGAGCGAACAGGAUUAGAUACCCUGGUAGUCCAUACCGUAAACGAUGAAUGCUAAGUGUUGGAGGGUUUCCGCCCUUCAGUGCUGCAGCUAACGCAUUAAGCAUUCCGCCUGGGGAGUACGACCGCAAGGUUGAAACUCAAAGGAAUUGACGGGGGCCCGCACAAGCGGUGGAGCAUGUGGUUUAAUUCGAAGCUACGCGAAGAACCUUACCAGGUCUUGACAUCUAGCGCCAAUCCUAGAGAUAGGACGUUCCCUUCGGGGACGCUAAGACAGGUGGUGCAUGGUUGUCGUCAGCUCGUGUCGUGAGAUGUUGGGUUAAGUCCCGCAACGAGCGCAACCCUUAUGAUUAGUUGCCAGCAUUUAGUUGGGCACUCUAAUCAGACUGCCGGUGACAAACCGGAGGAAGGUGGGG
Molecule: ribosomal RNA, 1174 nt
Filed under: uncultured bacterium
Lineage: Bacteria
Description: bacterial SSU rRNA
Rfam family: Bacterial small subunit ribosomal RNA
Source: RNAcentral